Molecule: ribosomal RNA, 253 nt
Filed under: uncultured bacterium
Lineage: Bacteria
Description: partial 16S ribosomal RNA
Rfam family: Bacterial small subunit ribosomal RNA
Source: RNAcentral
UACGGGGGGGGCAAGCGUUGUUCGGAAUUACUGGGCGUAAAGGGCUCGUAGGCGGCCAACUAAGUCAGACGUGAAAUCCCUCGGCUUAACCGGGGAACUGCGUCUGAUACUGGAUGGCUAGAGUGUGGGAGAGGGAUGCGGAAUUCCAGGUGUAGCGGUGAAAUGCGUAGAUAUCUGGAGGAACACCGGUGGCGAAGGCGGCAUCCUGGACCACGACUGACGCUGAGGAGCGAAAGCCAGGGGAGCAAACGGG